RNAcentral lists this ribosomal RNA (697 nucleotides) under Azadinium caudatum. RNAcentral's name for it is "partial large subunit ribosomal RNA". It matches the Rfam family "Eukaryotic large subunit ribosomal RNA", at positions 63 to 645 of the family's 3401-position model. Lineage: Eukaryota; Dinophyceae; Gonyaulacales; Amphidomataceae. The record is from RNAcentral.
AACUAAAUAGGAUUCCCUUAGUAAUGGCGAAUGAACAGGGAACAGCUCAGCAUGGAAAUCGGGGCCUCCCGGCCUUGAAUUGUAGUCUGGAGAUGUGCUGCCAACGGAGGCGCAGAUGUAAGCCUCUUGGAAAAGAGCAUCAACGAGGGUGAGAGUCCUGUUUGUCAUCUGCAGUCCCCCGUGCACGGUGCGCGUUUGACGAGUCACGUUCCUCGGGAUUGGAGCGCAAAGUGGGUGGUAAAUUUCAUCUAAAGCUAAAUACUGGUUCGAGACCGAUAGCAAACAAGUACCAUGAGGGAAAGGUGAAAAGGACUUUGAAAAGAGAGUUAAAAGUGCCUGAAAUCGCUGAAAGGGAAGCGAAUGGAACCAGUGUUCUUGGUGAGAUUGUUGCGCACUCUGGGGAUUGCUGGCUGUUCAACCGCAAGGGGAGCAGUUGGUUUUGACUUAGCGGUGCGUGGUGUUUCUUGCCCUGUGUGUCACCGUCGGUGCACCAGCGAGUAAACCACCAAGGGCAUGGUACCUCACCCACGGGUGGGCGAAUACCUUUGGCUGCACUCAUUGGUGUAUCGAUCCCUGCGUGUCUGGUUGCAGUGCUCAGUUCGUCUCAGUGCUUCUGCGGGGUUCGUCUCUGUGGGAGUUUCCUGGGGCGCGCGGGGCAUCUCCCUGACACAAAGACGAUGACUAAAUGGUUCUAUUC